This is a long non-coding RNA of Pundamilia nyererei, 943 nucleotides long. RefSeq lists it as uncharacterized. The transcript is spliced from 2 exons. The record is from RefSeq and is a predicted model, not a curated record. Lineage: Eukaryota; Metazoa; Chordata; Actinopteri; Cichliformes; Cichlidae.
CAGGAUUAAAAGAGAAGCUAAAAUGCUCCACGGAGCUGAGGCAAGUCGUGAACUUUUGUAAAGAAAUCCAGACAGCCCUUGGAUCUAAGUGGAGCUGAGGAUUGAUGACUACUUAUAUUUACAACGUGGAAGCCGAGUCCUGCUGGCAUCAUCGCAUCUCCACGCACGCUCACAGGUUUCCAUUAAUCUCGCCUCAAAGUGUGCCGUUGGCUUUGUUUGGCACAAAGGAUAUUUGGAGUAUUAGUUUAUACAAGUUCCAUCUCUGACCUGUUGCUGCGUGGCGUGUGUGUGGUCUCAUAAUGUGAUAUCUCCACCAACUCUGCAAAACCAGCAGGACAGACUGCCGGCACAGCAGCAACCACUUUGAUUUUCCACAGAAGAGUGAUUCACUCUCGAAUGAACACUUAGUGACCCAGAGCUUAAAGGCCAAGAUUAGCCCUGGCAACCGAGGCCCUCUGGGGUCCACAAUCGAUGUUUACUGUGGAACACCCUGCUGUUUACCUGAGCUCGCUCCCGUCCAUCCAGUCCAAGUCACAAGAGGUAUGAAGCAAUCAGAAGCAAAAAUGUGGAGGAUCAGAGAAGCACAUAAUAAAAACUGCUUAAAGGAAUAUCUCAACAUUUAGGGGGAGCAGGGAAUAUAUACUUAUUUUCUUAAAUAAGUAAAGCUGGACAGAAAAUUUUAAUGGGUACCACCAGAUGUUAGCAACCAUAAUAGCUAUUUUAAAUCGAAAUAUCUAAGCAGUUUAAUGAAUCAACUCCCUUAAGACAUGUAUUUAUCAUAUUUUUAGAGUCAGAUGGUUAAAUUACUCAUUUGAUUAGUGUUAAAAAAUAUCUCAAGAAUUGGGGGAGCCUGUCUAAACAAGAGAAAAAGUAGAUGUUCAGCUGUCAUUUUGUACUGUUAUUGAUAUUUGAGCAUUCAUAAAGUUUUUAAUUGGGAAUCAGA